This 311-nucleotide long non-coding RNA is filed under the name Hordeum vulgare. RNAcentral describes it as "long non-coding RNA (HVUL_LNC019283)". Lineage: Eukaryota; Viridiplantae; Streptophyta; Magnoliopsida; Poales; Poaceae. The record is from RNAcentral.
AUAGCCCUACUAAUACGACAGAAAAUGCUCAGGAAAAAAAAUGAAGAUGAACUGACAGUGCAAUGUUCAUGCUCAGAUUCAAAAUACAAAUGCAUAAUAUCCCAGUAAGCGUAAAUUACAGAGUUAUACACUGCAGGCUUGGAAGAGAGUGGAAAUAAGCAGAAGACAUGUUCAUAUCACAAGAAGAAUUACCAGACAAGAACACACGGUUAAGAGAGCCAGAUCAAAGGAUACAAAUUCAGGGCCAGACAAGCAAACGCAUAAAAUAUGACAUUACAAUGCCAUUUCCUGCUUGGGGGGGGGGGGGGGGG